GAAAUGCGAUAAGUAGUGUGAAUUGCAGAAUUCAGUGAAUCAUCGAAUCUUUGAACGCACAUUGCGCCCCUUGGUAUUCCAUGGGGCAUGCCUGUUCGAGCGUCAUUUGUACCUUCAAGCUCUGCUUGGUGUUGGGUGUUUGUCUCGCCUCUGCGUGUAGACUCGCCUCAAAACAAUUGGCAGCCGGCGUAUUGAUUUCGGAGCGCAGUACAUCUCGCGCUUUGCACUCAUAACGACGACGUCCAAAAGUACAUUUUUACACUCUUGACCUCGGAUCAGGUAGGGAUACCCGCUUAACUUAAGC
Molecule: unclassified non-coding RNA, 304 nt
Filed under: plant metagenome
Description: partial contains 5.8S ribosomal RNA, internal transcribed spacer 2, and large subunit ribosomal RNA
Rfam family: 5.8S ribosomal RNA (bases 1-105)
Source: RNAcentral